AAUGAGGACUAGUAUCAAUGGCACCACGAGGAUUUUACUGUCUCCCCACUCCAAUCAGUGAAACUGAUCUCCCCGUGAAGAAGCGGGGAUACUUUUAUAAGACGAGAAGACCCCAUGGAGCUUUAAAUCCGACAGCACCUAUUAUUUAUAUACCCUCGUAUACACCUAGCUAUUGCUCGUUUGGUUUUAGGUUGGGGUGACCAUGGAGUAAAAAACAACCUCCACGAAGGAAGGAAUAAAAUCUUUAUCAAAGAACCACAAUUCUAUGAAUUAGAAAACUAAUUUUUAAUGAUCCGUUAUUCGAUCAACGAACCAAGUUACCC
Molecule: ribosomal RNA, 323 nt
Filed under: Boophis lilianae
Lineage: Eukaryota; Metazoa; Chordata; Amphibia; Anura; Mantellidae
Description: partial 16S ribosomal RNA
Rfam family: Bacterial large subunit ribosomal RNA
Source: RNAcentral